UUCCUUUCUUCAUUUUUCAUUAGUAUGGUUGUAAUUUACUUUACUGAGAACUUACGAUGCUAACUCGGACAAUUGCUGUGAAACUGACAUUUUCGACUCGAUUUAUUUACUUUUGAUGCCUCGCACUAUUUUUCUUACUGAAUUAGGCCAAAAUUCUUCUUCCAACAAAUUAAAAAACAAAACAAAACAAAACGACUGUCUGUGCGGUAAGCUGAGGGUUUCUGAUGUAUCGCAAAGAUUGCGUCUAAUACUCCUCUGUUCAAGUUACGUGUACUGCGCACAUAUGGUUAUGGUACUGACAGGGUGAUAUUACGAACUGCUGUAAGUCCUUAAAACUACAUAAAGAGAGUAUGCUAUGCCUCGUUAUAUAUACGAGCAAAGUUUUUGACGGUUUCAUUAAAAUCACUUAUAUUAUAUUAUUUCUGCCAGCAUCCUUUUGUUACGUUUGGUCGACCCGUGAUUAGAGAUAAACCCAAUUGUUAAAAAUAUACAUAAAACCUCUGUAAUAGAAUAUUUAUUAUAUUUGGCGAUCCCGGUGCAUAAAUUCCCACUGCAUACAAUGAUAUGCCGAUUAUAUAAUAGAACAAGUUAACAAAACGAUAUUUGGUCCUUUC
This is a non-coding RNA of Schizosaccharomyces pombe (fission yeast), 614 nucleotides long. The record is from the annotation of a GenBank genome assembly. Lineage: Eukaryota; Fungi; Ascomycota; Schizosaccharomycetes; Schizosaccharomycetales; Schizosaccharomycetaceae.